Molecule: small RNA, 29 nt
Filed under: Bombyx mori (domestic silkworm)
Lineage: Eukaryota; Metazoa; Arthropoda; Insecta; Lepidoptera; Bombycidae
Description: ovarian small RNA-20038
Source: RNAcentral
UACAACAAACAAAAUGAUAAGGUGUACGC